Rhododendron molle is the source of this 71-nucleotide non-coding RNA. The record is from the annotation of a GenBank genome assembly. Lineage: Eukaryota; Viridiplantae; Streptophyta; Magnoliopsida; Ericales; Ericaceae.
GGGUUGGUAUAGUGGUCUAAGGCUUGGGACUUAGGCUCCUAAGGUCGGAGGUUCAAAACCUCUUAGAGCCU